AACAUGAUAACUUAUUGCAACCAAAAUUGCAAUUUGAGGUAGGAACCUCUUAUGUGGUCAAGAGACUAUUAAAACCAUUUUUGUUACUCUUUUAUUUAUAGAAAAAAUCUCCUUGUUAGUAACGUGGGCUGUGACUUGAGUUCUCUGUUUUCAGGAUUCCUCGAGUGGUACUAGUAAAUUAGUUAUCAAGAGAAAGAGGGAAAGUAAGAGACUCUUUCUUUUUUAAUUGAUUUAUUGGGG
Molecule: long non-coding RNA, 240 nt
Filed under: Eucalyptus grandis
Lineage: Eukaryota; Viridiplantae; Streptophyta; Magnoliopsida; Myrtales; Myrtaceae
Description: long non-coding RNA (EGRA_LNC005960)
Source: RNAcentral